CCUACGGGUGGCAGCAGUGAGGAAUAUUGGUCAAUGGGCGGGAGCCUGAACCAGCCAAGCCGCGUGAGGGAAGAAGGUACAGCGUAUCGUAAACCUCUUUUGUCAGGGAACAAAGGCGGGGACUAGUCCCCGGAUGAGGGUACCUGAAGAAAAAGCAUCGGCUAACUCCGCGCCAGCAGCCGCGGUAAUACGGGGGAUGCGAGCGUUAUCCGGAUUUAUUGGGUUUAAAGGGUGCGCGGGCGGCCUGUUAAGUCAGCGGGAAAAGCCCGGGGCUCAACCCCGCCGAGCCGUUGAAACUGGCGGGCUGGAGUUGGAGAGAAGUACGCGGAAUGCGCGGUGUAGCGGUGAAAUGCUUAGAUAUCGCGCAGAACCCCGAUGGCGAAGGCAGCGUACCGGCUCCACACUGACGCUGAGGCACGAAAGCGUGGGUAUCGAACAGGAUUAGAUACCCGAGUAGUC
This 459-nucleotide ribosomal RNA is filed under the name uncultured bacterium. RNAcentral describes it as "partial 16S ribosomal RNA". It matches the Rfam family "Bacterial small subunit ribosomal RNA", at positions 338 to 795 of the family's 1533-position model. The record is from RNAcentral.